UUCAUCUAAAUUCAUCUUAUAAUACUAACAUAUAAUUAUUAAAAAUAAUAAUAGUAAAAAAACAUAAAUAAUAGUAAUAAUAAUAAUAAUAAUAAAAAAUAUUAAAAUAAAAAAGAGAGGAGGGUGGUAGCGCUGUUCAACAUCAACAUUGGUUUUUUUUUAAAAUUAAACACCCAAUGGUGUAUUGACACAUGACCAUUAAAAUAAUAAUAAUAAUAAUAAAAUAGAAAAAUAAGUAAACAAAAUUUAUGAAAACUGGCUGAAUAGAGAAUGAAAGAUAACUCUUCUUCUUUCCUUUUUUGUUUUGGCAUCUCUCACAAGAUACUCACUCAUCAUUCUAGCUUUAUCUAUGCUUCCAACUUUUGUAGCAACAACAAUAGCAUGCUCACACCAAAAUCAAAUUCAAACAAACUCUAAAAAAACAAAUUACAAAUCGGUACUAACAUAAGGAAGUAAGAGGAUACCGAUUGGGAAUGAGGAAAUGAUAACGGUGGCGGAUAUUUCUCUUUGUUGCACGGUGAAGAUAGAUGGUCGGAAACGACGGUGUCUUAGAGGUGUAUGUCUUGAUGAAGGUGAGUAGCAAGUGUUAUUUUGUUGUAUAUGUGGUUAGUUAUAUUACUGUUGGGUUUUUUCGUGAGGUUUUUUUAUGGUAUUUGAAGAGUAAGGAUGAGGUUUUGAAAUGAUAAAAAAGGAGAGUUGUUUGAGUUUAAGUGUGGAGUUUCGCAUGGUGGUCAACAUGGUGUUAAUGGUGGAGUUUUUUAUGGUUAUUUUUUUUUGGUGUUUGGAGGAGAUAAUGAGGUUAAUGAAAAAAAGAAAAUGUACAUGAACUUUCUGAAAUACCAACAAUGUCCUUAAUGAGUGUUAUUAGAGACAAAAACAAUAAAAACAAAUUAAAACUAAAUAAAAUUAAACACAAAAAAAAUAAUUACAAUAAAAUCAACACAAAAAUACAGUUAAUUCUAUUUAAUUAUUUAGGAUACUUUGACAAAAAAAUAAAAAUAAAAGGAUUCAAAAUGAAUAAAAGUCGGGCACAAAAGUGUUC
Molecule: long non-coding RNA, 1042 nt
Filed under: Lathyrus oleraceus (garden pea)
Lineage: Eukaryota; Viridiplantae; Streptophyta; Magnoliopsida; Fabales; Fabaceae
Description: Pisum sativum (pea) long non-coding RNA (PSAT_LNC039108)
Source: RNAcentral